AAAUUGAAGAGUUUGAUCAUGGCUCAGAUUGAACGCUGGCGGCAGGCCUAACACAUGCAAGUCGAGCGGUAGCACAGAGAGCUUGCUCUCGGGUGACGAGCGGCGGACGGGUGAGUAAUGUCUGGGAAACUGCCUGAUGGAGGGGGAUAACUACUGGAAACGGUAGCUAAUACCGCAUAACGUCGCAAGACCAAAGUGGGGGACCUUCGGGCCUCAUGCCAUCAGAUGUGCCCAGAUGGGAUUAGCUGGUAGGUGGGGUAACGGCUCACCUAGGCGACGAUCCCUAGCUGGUCUGAGAGGAUGACCAGCCACACUGGAACUGAGACACGGUCCAGACUCCUACGGGAGGCAGCAGUGGGGAAUAUUGCACAAUGGGCGCAAGCCUGAUGCAGCCAUGCCGCGUGUGUGAAGAAGGCCUUCGGGUUGUAAAGCACUUUCAGCGGGGAGGAAGGCGGUGAGGUUAAUAACCUCAUCGAUUGACGUUACCCGCAGAAGAAGCACCGGCUAACUCCGUGCCAGCAGCCGCGGUAAUACGGAGGGUGCAAGCGUUAAUCGGAAUUACUGGGCGUAAAGCGCACGCAGGCGGUCUGUCAAGUCGGAUGUGAAAUCCCCGGGCUCAACCUGGGAACUGCAUUCGAAACUGGCAGGCUAGAGUCUUGUAGAGGGGGGUAGAAUUCCAGGUGUAGCGGUGAAAUGCGUAGAGAUCUGGAGGAAUACCGGUGGCGAAGGCGGCCCCCUGGACAAAGACUGACGCUCAGGUGCGAAAGCGUGGGGAGCAAACAGGAUUAGAUACCCUGGUAGUCCACGCUGUAAACGAUGUCGAUUUGGAGGUUGUGCCCUUGAGGCGUGGCUUCCGGAGCUAACGCGUUAAAUCGACCGCCUGGGGAGUACGGCCGCAAGGUUAAAACUCAAAUGAAUUGACGGGGGCCCGCACAAGCGGUGGAGCAUGUGGUUUAAUUCGAUGCAACGCGAAGAACCUUACCUGGUCUUGACAUCCACAGAACUUUCCAGAGAUGGAUUGGUGCCUUCGGGAACUGUGAGACAGGUGCUGCAUGGCUGUCGUCAGCUCGUGUUGUGAAAUGUUGGGUUAAGUCCCGCAACGAGCGCAACCCUUAUCCUUUGUUGCCAGCGGUCCGGCCGGGAACUCAAAGGAGACUGCCAGUGAUAAACUGGAGGAAGGUGGGGAUGACGUCAAGUCAUCAUGGCCCUUACGACCAGGGCUACACACGUGCUACAAUGGCAUAUACAAAGAGAAGCGACCUCGCGAGAGCAAGCGGACCUCAUAAAGUAUGUCGUAGUCCGGAUUGGAGUCUGCAACUCGACUCCAUGAAGUCGGAAUCGCUAGUAAUCGUAGAUCAGAAUGCUACGGUGAAUACGUUCCCGGGCCUUGUACACACCGCCCGUCACACCAUGGGAGUGGGUUGCAAAAGAAGUAGGUAGCUUAACCUUCGGGAGGGCGCUUACCACUUUGUGAUUCAUGACUGGGGUGAAGUCGUAACAAGGUAACCGUAGGGGAACCUGCGGUUGGAUCACCUCCUUA
RNAcentral lists this ribosomal RNA (1540 nucleotides) under Klebsiella variicola. RNAcentral describes it as "bacterial SSU rRNA". It matches the Rfam family "Bacterial small subunit ribosomal RNA". The record is from RNAcentral. RNAcentral also lists the same sequence under 6 other names. Lineage: Bacteria; Pseudomonadati; Pseudomonadota; Gammaproteobacteria; Enterobacterales; Enterobacteriaceae.